This 253-nucleotide ribosomal RNA is filed under the name uncultured bacterium. RNAcentral describes it as "partial 16S ribosomal RNA". It matches the Rfam family "Bacterial small subunit ribosomal RNA", at positions 524 to 776 of the family's 1533-position model. The record is from RNAcentral.
UACGGAGGGAGCUAGCGUUGUUCGGAAUUACUGGGCGUAAAGCGCACGUAGGCGGCUUUGUAAGUUAGAGGUGAAAGCCCGGGGCUCAACCCCGGAAUUGCCUUUAAGACUGCAUCGCUUGAAUCCGGGAGAGGUGAGUGGAAUUCCGAGUGUAGAGGUGAAAUUCGUAGAUAUUCGGAAGAACACCAGUGGCGAAGGCGGCUCACUAGACCGGUAUUGACGCUGAGGUGCGAAAGCGUGGGGAGCAAACAGG